This 72-nucleotide transfer RNA is filed under the name Bacteroidota bacterium. RNAcentral describes it as "Bacteroidetes bacterium tRNA-Gln". It matches the Rfam family "tRNA". Rfam says of the family: Transfer RNA (tRNA) molecules are approximately 80 nucleotides in length. Their secondary structure includes four short double-helical elements and three loops (D, anti-codon, and T loops). Lineage: Bacteria; Pseudomonadati; Bacteroidota. The record is from RNAcentral.
UGACCCAUAGUAUAAUUGGCAGUACAGCGGAUUUUGGUUCCGUUAGUCUAGGUUCGAGUCCUAGUGGGUCAG